Molecule: non-coding RNA, 89 nt
Submitted as: unclassified sequences
Source: Rfam
UAUAGGAGGAAACAAAAUGAACGAAGUUCAUUUUCUUUAAAUGUUUCCGACGAAUAGCCCUCGGCCGAAGGGAGGGGGCAAUACAUAUU